Molecule: non-coding RNA, 106 nt
Organism: Gossypium hirsutum (cotton)
Lineage: Eukaryota; Viridiplantae; Streptophyta; Magnoliopsida; Malvales; Malvaceae
Source: Rfam
AGUCCAUGGUGUGGGCAUUUCCUUAGCAUAGUCUUGAAAUGCUCCCACGCCUCGUAUAAGGACUCACCUUCGUAUUGUUUAAAGUUGACGAUUUCUCACCUCAGCU